RNAcentral lists this ribosomal RNA (1242 nucleotides) under Burkholderia multivorans. RNAcentral describes it as "partial 23S ribosomal RNA". It matches the Rfam family "Bacterial large subunit ribosomal RNA", at positions 1400 to 2506 of the family's 2925-position model. The record is from RNAcentral. Lineage: Bacteria; Pseudomonadati; Pseudomonadota; Betaproteobacteria; Burkholderiales; Burkholderiaceae.
GGCCGACAGGCGUAGUCGAUGGACAACCAGUUGAUAUUCUGGUACCGACACACAACCGACAAUACCAAAACACAUGAGACUAACUCCCCGGUCCACCCGUGGCGUCUUCGGAUGUCUGGUUGGUGGGGUGGUGAGGACCUGAGUGUGGAGUCGGUAAGCGUGAGGUGUGACGCAGAAAGGUAGCCAGGCCACGCGAUGGUAGUCGUGGUCUAAGGUCGUAGCAUGUGGGGGUAGGCAAAUCCGUCCCCACACAAGUGUGAGAGCUGAUGGGCGCCCCACAGUGGUGGGGUGAUCUGGUGAUCCUCUGCUGCCGAGAAAAGCAUCGACGUGAGGGUGUGUGUUGCCCGUACCCUAUAACCGACACAGGUGGUCAGGUAGAGAAUACUAAGGUGAUCGAGAGAAUCGUGGUUAAGGAACUCGGCAAAAUGCCCCCGUAACUUCGGGAGAAGGGGGGCCAUCCUGGUGAACAGCCCUUGCGGUUGGGAGCUGGUGGUGGUCGCAGAGGCCAGAGAGAAGCGACUGUUUAUUAAAAACACAGGUCCGUGCGAAGAUGUAAGUCGAUGUAUACGGACUGACGCCUGCCCGGUGCUGGAAGGUUAAGAGGACCCGUUAACCCUUGGGUGAAGCGGAGAAUUUAAGCCCCAGUAAACGGCGGUGGUAACUAUAACCAUCCUAAGGUAGCGAAAUUCCNNNNNNNNNNNNNNNNNNNNNNNNNNNNNNNNCUGCACGAAUGGCGUAACGACUUCUCUGCUGUCUCAACCACGAACUCGGCGAAAUUGCAUUACGAGUAAAGAUGCUCGUUACGCGCAGCAGGACGGAAAGACCCCGAGACCUUCACUAUAGUUUGGUAUUGGGCUUCGGUGUGGUUUGUGUAGGAUAGGUGGGAGAUGUUGAAGCCUGGUCGCCAGAUCGGGUGGAGUCGGCAAGUGAAAUACCACUCUGACCAUUCUGGAUUCCUUAACUUCGGACCCUGAUCGGGUUCAGGGACAGUGCCUGAUGGGUAGUUUAACUGGGGCGGUUGCCUCCUAAAGAGUAACGGAGGCGCCCAAAGGUUCCCUCAGCCUGGUUGGCAAUCAGGUGUCGAGUGUAAGUGCACAAGGGAGCUUGACUGUGAGACGGACGUGUCGAGCAGGAGCGAAAGCUGGGACUAGUGACCCGGCCAUGGCUUGUGGAAGCGUGGUCGCUCAACGGAUAAAAGGUACCUCGGGGAUAACAGGCUGAUCUUGCCCAAGAGUCCAUAUC